This 337-nucleotide ribosomal RNA is filed under the name uncultured archaeon. Its description in RNAcentral is "partial 16S ribosomal RNA". It matches the Rfam family "Archaeal small subunit ribosomal RNA", at positions 133 to 475 of the family's 1478-position model. The record is from RNAcentral.
CGGGAAACUGGGGAUAAUACCCCAUAGGCUAUAGAUGCUGGAAUGUGCUGUAGCCGAAAGGUCAGCCGCCUUAGGAUGGGUCUGCGGCCGAUUAGGUUGUUGUUGGGGUAACGGCCCAACAAGCCUGUAAUCGGUACGGGUUGUGGGAGCAAGAGCCCGGAGAUGGAUUCUGAGACACGAAUCCAGGCCCUACGGGGCGCAGCAGGCGCGAAAACUUUACAAUGCGGGAAACCGUGAUAGGGGAACUCCGAGUGCCCGGUAAAUCGGGCUGUCCAUCAGUUUAAAUAACUGGUGAAGAAAGGGCCGGGCAAGACCGGUGCCAGCCGCCGCGGUAACA